GACGAACGCUGGCGGCGUGCCUAACACAUGCAAGUCGAACGGAAAGUUAGCAAUAACUUUUAGUGGCGAACGGGUGAGUAACGCGUGGGCAACCUGCCCUUCAGACGGGGACAACAUUCCGAAAGGAGUGCUAAUACCGGAUACGACCUUUAGACCGCAUGGUUUAAAGAAGAAAGGUGGCCUCUAUUUAUAAGCUACCGCUGAAGGAUGGGCCUGCGUCUGAUUAGCUAGUUGGUGGGGUAAAGGCCUACCAAGGCGCCGAUCAGUAGCCGGUAUGAGAGAGUGAACGGCAACACUGGGACGGAGACACGGCGCAGGAUCCUACGGGAGGCAGCAGUGGGGAAUCUUCCGGAAUGGGCGAAAGGCUGACGGAGCAACGCCGCGUGAGUGAAGAAGGUCUUCGGAUUGUAAAGCUCUGUUUAAAGGGACGAAUGGCUAGAUUGUGAAUAAUGAUUUGGCAUGACGGUACCUUUGGAGGAAGCCACGGCUAACUACGUGCCAGCAGCAGCCGCAG
This 514-nucleotide ribosomal RNA is filed under the name uncultured bacterium. RNAcentral describes it as "partial 16S ribosomal RNA". It matches the Rfam family "Bacterial small subunit ribosomal RNA", at positions 28 to 523 of the family's 1533-position model. The record is from RNAcentral.